UACAGAGGUCUCAAGCGUUGUUCGGAUUCAUUGGGCGUAAAGGGUGUGUAGGUGGCGCGCUAAGUCGGGUGUGAAAUUUCGGAGCUUAACUCCGAAACUGCAUUCGAUACUGGCGUGCUUGAGGACUGGAGAGGAGACUGGAAUUCAUGGUGUAGCAGUGAAAUGCGUAGAGGUCAUGAGGAAGACCAGUGGCGAAGGCGGGUCUCUGGACAGUUCCUGACGCUGAGGCACGAAGGCCAGGGGAGCAAACGGG
RNAcentral lists this ribosomal RNA (253 nucleotides) under uncultured bacterium. RNAcentral describes it as "partial 16S ribosomal RNA". It matches the Rfam family "Bacterial small subunit ribosomal RNA", at positions 524 to 776 of the family's 1533-position model. The record is from RNAcentral.